Small nuclear RNA from Acomys russatus (golden spiny mouse), 107 nucleotides. Lineage: Eukaryota; Metazoa; Chordata; Mammalia; Rodentia; Muridae. The record is from RefSeq and is a predicted model, not a curated record.
UUGCUCAAUUCAGUAGCACGUAUGCUAAAAUUGGAAUGCUACAGAGAAGAUUAUCAUGGCCUCUGUGCAAGGGUGACAUGAAAAUUAAUGGUGUUCCCUAAUUUUUC